Molecule: unclassified non-coding RNA, 348 nt
Filed under: soil metagenome
Description: partial contains 5.8S ribosomal RNA, internal transcribed spacer 2, and large subunit ribosomal RNA
Rfam family: 5.8S ribosomal RNA (bases 1-120)
Source: RNAcentral
GAUGAAGAACGUAGCGAAAUGCGAUAAGUAAUGUGAAUUGCAGAAUUCAGUGAAUCAUCGAAUCUUUGAACGCACAUUGCGCCCGCCAGUAUUCUGGCGGGCAUGCCUGUCCGAGCGUCAUUUCAACCCUCGCGCCCAUCUGGGCUGCGGUGUUGGGGACCGGCCUGCCCCCCGGGGCGCGCCGCCCCCCAAAUUCAGUGGCGGUCUCGCUGCAGCCUCCCUUGCAUAGUAGCACACCUCGCACCGGAGCGCAGCGCGGCCACGCCGUAAAACCCCCGACCCCCAUGAGUUUGACCUCGGAUCAGGUAGGAAUACCCGCUGAACUUAAGCAUAUCAAUAAGCGGAGGA